Molecule: ribosomal RNA, 406 nt
Filed under: uncultured bacterium
Lineage: Bacteria
Description: partial 16S ribosomal RNA
Rfam family: Bacterial small subunit ribosomal RNA
Source: RNAcentral
AUUGAACGCUGGCGGCAGGCCUAACACAUGCAAGUCGAACGAGUGGCGGACGGGUGAGUAAUGUCUGGGCAACUGCCCGAUGGAGGGGGAUAACUACUGGAAACAGUAGCUAAUACCGCAUACUCUCGGAUGUGCCCAGAUGGGAUUCGCUAGUAGGUGGGGUAACGGCUCACCUAGGCGACGAUCCCUAGCUGGUCUGAGAGGAUGACCCGCCAAACUGGAACUGAGACACGGGCCAGACUCCUACGGGAGGCAGCAGCGGGGAAUAUUGCACAAGGGGCGCAAGCCUGAUGCAGCCAUGCCGCGUGUAUGAAGAAGGCCUUCGGGUUGGAAAGUACUUUCAGCGAGGAGGCGUUACUCGCAGAAGAAGCACCGGCUAACUCCGUGCCAGCCGCCGCGGUAAUAC